RNAcentral lists this long non-coding RNA (493 nucleotides) under Ananas comosus (pineapple). RNAcentral describes it as "long non-coding RNA (ACOM_LNC036568)". Lineage: Eukaryota; Viridiplantae; Streptophyta; Magnoliopsida; Poales; Bromeliaceae. The record is from RNAcentral.
GGGAACUUGUGUGGUGUUUGGAGCGUGGCUCCUACGCCGUUUUCGAUGAUUAAACUUCGAAUUGACGAUCAGCUUCGUAGACUUAAUCUUACUUACUUAAACAUUUAAAAAAUAAAUUUUGUAACUUUUCGAUAUCAUUUACCUAAUAAUCGCGAUAGUUCAAAAUCAACAAUUUUUUAAUGAUUGAUGUGUGUUAUUUGUAAGUUUAACAGUGUAGAAGUAUUCAAAUCAGAUAAAAUUUUGAUAGAAAAUUUUGUAUACUAUCUACAGCAAGAUUACUAUCUCUGAUCGAAAAUUUUAGUGUUAUAUUAUAAUUUUUGUGAGAUUUUUAUUUUCAAACAUUGAUUUUGAGUGCUUUCAAUCACUAGAUAAAUGAUAUAUAAAAAUCACAAAAUUUAUUUUUCUAAAUACUUUAAAUGCGGAAGAUCAAUUUAACAUAGUUGAUUAUCGAUUCGGAAGUUGUAUUAUAAGAAAUGGCAUAGGAUCAAGUAGG